This 4042-nucleotide long non-coding RNA is filed under the name Mus musculus (house mouse). RNAcentral describes it as "long non-coding RNA chr9:74988311-74992353". The record is from RNAcentral. Lineage: Eukaryota; Metazoa; Chordata; Mammalia; Rodentia; Muridae.
GUACCUCCAAUCUUUCUAGCCACUUCUUAGUCACAUAAACUCACAUUAAUUUGUAUGUCUUAAGACUCCAAAAGUAGUACCAUACUGAAUGUAUUCCAUCAGCUCUGUCUUUCUGUGCAGAGCAGCGACUGUGCACCCGGAGAGGCUGACUCUAACCGUAGCAUGGUUUUCCAUGUAGGAAGGCACUAGUAUUGACUUGCUUUGGAAGUAGUGUUAGGGAAAGGACCCAGGGCCUGUGCUUGCUGGGCACAUGCUGUGCCUCUGAGCCACACUGCCAUGCCAGCCUUGCUCAUUGGGCUGCAUAUUGUAGGAAAUAAACGCAUCAUCAUCUAGGUACUUUGGCUAGAGUUGGGAUGCUUUGUCGACAUAUAUGGCACAGCCAUCCUAGAUGCAGAAUAUAAAUGUCUUAAGUUCAAACUUUAGAAAUAGGUGAUGUAGGCUUGCCCAGUGGUGGUCUUUAUGGAUUCUUUGUAAGUUUCACAUUAUCACCUCAAUCCUGCUCACCACCCCAUCCCUUCUGAUGGCCCUCUACCCUUGCAAUCUACCCCCAAAAGAAAGUUAAAAAACAACAAAAAAUAAACAAAACAUAGGAACCAUCUUCCUAUGGAAGCUGUAGGGUAUCACAGUGUGUCCCACAGUAUACCCUCUUGACCAUGUAUCCUUUCUUGCAAAUGCUCAUUGCAUUGAGUCACUGGUCUGAUUCAAGGCCUUUGGCUUCUGCCACACUGUCAACGCUGGAUCCUUACCAGGAUUGCUCUCAGAUAUCCUUUUGUUGCCCUGUGUCAUGAGAUCUAGAAAGUUUGGAUUUGUAAGGUAGAUUUUUGGGGUAGGCCAACUCAAAGCCCUAGAUCUAGCCUGGGUUGGUCAGACCUAGCUGGGUUGGUCAGCACGCCAGCUCUCCCACACCUAUACUACCGUGGGAACUCUCUGGCAUUGCCCCAGCUAGCUCACACAGCUGGCUAGGGGCAGGGGCAACUCACUUGUGCCUGUGUCUCCAGAGCCAGCUCUACUAUACUGCUGCUCGGUGAACUGCAAGGCCUGCUGUCCUGGGUGCUGCAGCCCAAGAGGGGCUGGGUCAGCCCUUUAACUCUCGCACCCUUGAGCUCCACCACCCCUGCCUUCGCCACGAGGGCCAGCUCCACUGCCCUUCCCAGGAGAGGUAUAGGGCCUACAGCAGUGGGUUUUUUGUCUUGUUUUGUUGUUGUUGUUGGUUUGGUUUGGGUUGGGUUUGUUCUUGUUGUUUUAAUAUGGUGCCUCAUUUAAAUCUACAUUUUAGAUGAAUAGCUUCCUAGUACCAGAUAUCUUGUACUGAAGUUUAAAUAUAAUUGGGAAAGUUUUAUUUUUAUUUGCCAAAUUGAGCAACCAUAAGUAGAAUUUUUAUAUAAAGUAAACAACCUCUCCAUUACCCUGUCUCAUUGCCCCAAGUUUAGGAUGUUAUUUUGUUUUUGUAAAUAAUAUAAUAGCUAUACAUGUAUUGCCUGCAUUUUAAAAAUGAAGGAUGAAGGUCUCUACUUUGCUUUUCAACUUCCUCCACUGGAUCUAUCUCAGCAGCUUCCUUGUGUUUGUGUCUGAACCACAUUUAGCAGUGUAGAUGGUUAAUAUUUUGAUUUUUUUUCUUAAGUGAGGUUGUAAGAUAAUACUUGCUUCCUUGUUUUUAAGAGCUAAUGAAAUAUUUUCAGUUGUGUAAAGUUACUGUCAUUUGUAACAAAUAUAUUUAAGAUCAACCCAGUACAAAGUCCCUAAGACUUGAGGACUACACUUGGAGCAAUGCUGGUUCUGUUGUUAAAGACAGAAGAUUAGUAGUGAGGUCUGCAUGCAUCUGUAGGGGCGAUGUUGACGGGAGAGCCAAGUGCUGAAAUGGGACCAAGAUGUGCUGGCUGGACACAUUUUCUGUGUAUUUUGGGGAAGAUUACAUAACCUGUCUAGACUUCCUCUUAUGCUUCUUUAAUGUUAUAACAGGGAGAAUUAAUAAAUAAAAGGAGUUUGGCUUGGUUUUAGAAACUAUAUUUUAUUUCAGCUACUAUAACAAAAUGCACUAAAUUAAGUCAUUUAUAAUCAAGAGAAAAAUUAUUGCUUACAGUUCUGGCGGCUGGGAAGUCCAAAGAUCUGGGCACCAGAAGAUUUAUUGUUUAUAAAGGGCUCACGUUUGCAUCAGACAUCCUGCUACAUCGUCAAGUAAAGGGGCAAACAGGCUGCUUGGAUACCUUUCCGAGGCCCAACACUAACUACCCUCACAUUGGGAACUACAUAUCAAUAGAGGAUCUCAGAGGGAUGCAAGCAAUCUGACCAUAUUAGGAAUCCUGUCAUAUAUUUAGGAAAGCCCCACAUAACUUUCACUGACCUCAAGGUAACAUCAGAGGAAGGAGUGAAGGUCUUAAGUGUUUUGUUGAAGUUGAAGACAUUCUCAUCACUUAAAAGAGUAGAGACUUGAGCCUAUUCAGGGUAUCUUCCAGGCUCUCACAACUGCCUAAGGGUAAAAAUUGAUAUGGCUAGCAUAAAUUAUUUUUAAUUACAAUGUGGAAAAAUGACUUAGUAAAAUGUUUUCAUUCACAUAGCCCUCAUAUAAUUAUAAAGCCAAAGAUUUUAACAUUUUAAUGUUUUAAUUGAAAUAGAAUUGUAUCAUGUCCCCAUAUUAUACAAUUUUCUCCUCCAACUCUUCCCAGCCAUUCUCCCUGGAACCCCUCUUAUAUCCCCCCUUCUUAAUUCGAUAGCCUCCUUGUCUUUGAUUAUUAUUAUUGGGGUGUGUGCAUGUACAGAUAUGUAGAAAUAUACCUGCUGAAUCCGUUUUUGUUUGUGUGUGUGUGUGUAUGGUUUCAAAGCUGAUCAUUUUGCAUUGUAUAGCCAAUCAAGGGGCUCAUCCUUAGGAGAGGGUAAUUCUCCCUCUUCCAACAGUUCUAAGUGUCUGAGGGUGAGACCCAGUAAACCCUCCCUCCACAUUGAAAUGUCUACUGAUAUGCCAGUGGCUACGUCUAGGAGAGACUCUUUGACAGCAGACCUCUUGGCACACUGGCUUUUACAGUCUUUCUGUUCCCUCUUCUUCGAUGUCCCCUGAGUCAUAAGCACAGAAGCUGUGAUGGAGCUAUAUCUGUUAAUUUCUGCAUUGCAUCCAGUUUCAGUUUUCUGUAAUGGUUUCCAGUUGGUAUAAAGAGAGGAUUCUUGGAUGAGGAAUGAGAGUAGCUAUACUUAGCCAUGAGAGGUAGCUCACACGCCAAGAGGGUUCUAUGUCAUGGCUAGGCUUGUGGAUUUGCAGAUGGGGAAGGGCCAGAAAAGGUGGCCCUUUAGCAGUUUUAAUGCAACUAAAGCUACAGAACCAAUACACUCUAAAGUCACUGUGACAUGUUACAGCUAUAAAGUUACUGUUCAGAUUAUGAACACAGGGUGGUCUGGUUUCAGGGAGAAGUCUUUCAGUGUUGAGAGUGUGUGUGAUGCUGUCUGUGUAUUUUAGUAUUUGCUUAGGCCAAUGUCAACUGUUAGUCUUCCAGUCCAGCAUGACAUUUUGCACAUGACACAAAUGUAGAAACUGUGUUUCUACAUUCUACAUGCUCCCCUGUCUACCAAGCUUUUGAAAUCCUGCAGUUUGAGUGGUCCAUCUGUAAAUGUUAAUCACAGUGAAUGUGGCUGGCGCUGACGUGGGAAGCAGCAGUUGUUUAUGACACUUAGAGGACUCAGGGUAGAUUUGUGCUGGGCUUUUAUUUUUCUUUGAAAGAGAAAUUAUAUUAUUAAUUUCAAGAGAAAGACACUGUCAGCUCCACAGGAUGUCAAGCAAUCCAGUUUGAGAAAUUCCUGCUCCUCACUUGUGUGUUAUUAAUGAAUCUAUGUAGGUUUGUGUUACAAACAACAAGGAUGGGCCUUUCAUUAGUACAGAACUCUCUGGGACUCCCUUGUGUAGUUGUCACUUUCUUCUCAUUUCCUGGUUUUGAGGUUGCAUUAAGAGCAGGGAUUCUGGCAGAGGCAGGCAGAGCUCUGAUUUGGAGGCCAGUCUGGUCUACAGACUGAGCUAUAGGACAACCAGGGCUACACAAACUGUCUUGAAAAAAAAAUG